This 675-nucleotide long non-coding RNA is filed under the name Ricinus communis (castor bean). RNAcentral's name for it is "long non-coding RNA (RCOM_LNC000272)". Lineage: Eukaryota; Viridiplantae; Streptophyta; Magnoliopsida; Malpighiales; Euphorbiaceae. The record is from RNAcentral.
UUCAGUGUUCUUUAUGAUAUGCAAUAUAUAGAUAGAUAUAUAGAUUGAGAGCUUCACUUAGGGUUAUCCCCUUGAAAGAGAGAAGAAGAAAAGAAAAGGAUACAAAGCUGGUAAUAGUAACAUAAUGGGUCUUAUGCUUCUAAUCAAGAAGUUCAGUCUUCUUUUCCUCCUUAUUUCAGUACCAUUCUUUUCAACUUCUUUUGCAGGUUUGCAUUUUUAUCUAUUUCUUUCACUACCGCAGCCUUUCUUCCAUAUUCGUACGUCUAGUCUCUCCUUUACAAAAGAAACAUAAGAAAUAGGUUACAGAAACCACAUAGUCACAUUACAUUAGAAAUAAAUCCCGUGAGUACCAUUGUAUACAUAAUUUAUAUCUAUCUAGCUGCACCAAGCAUCAUUUGUAAGUAUAGUCUUGGUAGGGUUAACAUGCUAGCGUAAUUUUUUCUUGUUUAAGGUUGUUUUGGUUAGUUCUUGGCACAUUUCAUCAUAUUAUUUAUCUUAUGCUUUCCCGGCUCCGACGAGACUUUGCAGUCUGAAAACGAAUCCAAUACCUUUAGUUUGUUAUGUUUAAAACGUUAAGAGAACAACAAUUUCUCUGCUUCAAUUUUAUUGCCUUUUUGCAGGUCGAUCCAAGUUUGUUGAUAAGUUGGCUGACCCAGCAGAUGCAAAUUAUGANNN